CAAUAGUCAUCGACAACGCUUUUAUUUUUUUUACCCUCCACGUUGUGUCAAUGUGAUUUUUGUUGUUACUGGAAACGUUUCCGUGCUCUAUUUAAGCAGGCACACGCGAAGCUAGGUGGCUAACAGACGGAGCUAACUUAGCCCGAGGCUAUUAGCAAGCUACUCCACUCCACUUACACGAAAGCGCAGCUAAAAAAAAUAGAACAGACAGACAGAUAGAUCGAUAGAUGGAUAGAUAGAUACCAUAUUAAUAGAGGAACAGUCAAACCAGUGAAAACCAAAUGCAAGAGCAGCAAAUGUGACGAAUUAACUACAUUUAAAUGGCGAGCAGGGUUGUUGUGUCCUGGAGGCUCAGAGGCAUACUGCGUUUCGGCCAACAGUUUACCACAGAUGCCAGCAAUGAAACAUGGAUGCCGGGCAGCUUUGGAGCACUUGUGCAGCCCUGGCACAGUUUAGAAAAAGCUUCUGCCUGGCCUGACUGCUGAGUCGGCAUCAGCACGGCCCAGAUGCUCAGGCAUCCCAAACUCCCACAGCCGCUCCAGGAUCACUCAGUAAGAACAGAUAAAUCGCCGACAGAUCCACACUGACUGACACAAAAACAUUCUCAUGGCCUGCUUUGGCAUUGUCGUGAGGGAAAAGAAGCUGUUUGCAUCACACAGACUUGUUAGACUUUCCAGUUUUUCUCAUUCUCCUCUGAGGCACUCUGCUCCUUAUGAAGUUUACUCGUGCACUGUUUAGGCUAACCUGCUGGUGUUUAUAUGGCGUCACCCUAAAAUGGAGCUACAGCUAAAAAUUAGCUUGUGAGCACACAGACACACCGGACAAUCGGUGCACAAUGACCCAUAGAGUGGUUAGAACAUCAAAAUGUGCAUGCGUCAUAGCCUUCGACAUCAGACAAAAAAAAAC
Hippocampus comes (tiger tail seahorse) is the source of this 906-nucleotide long non-coding RNA. RefSeq lists it as uncharacterized. Lineage: Eukaryota; Metazoa; Chordata; Actinopteri; Syngnathiformes; Syngnathidae. The transcript is spliced from 4 exons. The record is from RefSeq and is a predicted model, not a curated record.